GACGAACGCUGGCGGCGUGCUUAACACAUGCAAGUCGAACGGAAAGGCCCUGCUUUUGUGGGGUGCUCGAGUGGCGAACGGGUGAGUAACACGUGAGUAACCUGCCCUUGACUUUGGGAUAACUUCAGGAAACUGGGGCUAAUACCGGAUAGGAGCUCCUGCUGCAUGUUGGGGGUUGGAGAGUUUCGGCGGUUGGGGAUGGACUCGCGGCUUAUCAGCUUGUUGGUGGGGUAGUGGCUUACCAAGGCUUUGACGGGUAGCCGGCCUGAGAGGGUGACCGGCCACAUUGGGACUGAGAUACGGCCCAGACUCCUACGGGAGGCAGCAGUGGGGAAUAUUGCACAAUGGGCGGAAGCCUGAUGCAGCAACGCCGCGUGCGGGAUGACGGCCUUCGGGUUGUAAACCGCUUUCGCCGGUGACGAAGCGUGAGUGACGGUAAUGGGUAAAGAAGCACCGGCUAACUACGUG
Molecule: ribosomal RNA, 468 nt
Filed under: uncultured bacterium
Lineage: Bacteria
Description: partial 16S ribosomal RNA
Rfam family: Bacterial small subunit ribosomal RNA
Source: RNAcentral